Molecule: ribosomal RNA, 253 nt
Filed under: uncultured bacterium
Lineage: Bacteria
Description: partial 16S ribosomal RNA
Rfam family: Bacterial small subunit ribosomal RNA
Source: RNAcentral
UACGUAGGGCGCAAGCGUUGUCCGGAUUCACUGGGUGUAAAGGGUGCGCAGGCGGACUGGCAAGUCAGGGGUGAAAUCUCACAGCUCAACUGUGAAACUGCCUUUGAUACUGCUGGUCUUGAGUCAGGGAGAGGUUGAUGGAAUUCCCGGUGUAGCGGUGGAAUGCGUAGAGAUCGGGAAGAACAUCAGUGGCGAAGGCGGUCUGCUGGGCCGUUGCUGACGCUGAGGCGCGACAGCGUGGGGAGCAAACAGG